Molecule: ribosomal RNA, 450 nt
Filed under: uncultured bacterium
Lineage: Bacteria
Description: partial 16S ribosomal RNA
Rfam family: Bacterial small subunit ribosomal RNA
Source: RNAcentral
GUGGGGAAUAUUGGACAAUGGGCGAAAGCCUGAUCCAGCCAUGCCGCGUGUGUGAAGAAGGUCUUCGGAUUGUAAAGCACUUUAAGUUGGGAGGAAGGGCAGUAAGUUAAUUCCUUGCUGUUUUGACGUUACCGACAGAAUAAGCACCGGCUAACUUCGUGCCAGCAGCCGCGGUAAUACGAAGGGUGCAAGCGUUAAUCGGAAUUACUGGGCGUAAAGCGCGCGUAGGUGGUUUUGUAAGUUGGAGGUGAAAUCCCCGGGCUCAACCUGGGAACUGCCUCCAAAACUGCAUGACUAGAGUACGGUAGAGGGUAGUGGAAUUUCCUGUGUAGCGGUGAAAUGCGUAGAUAUAGGAAGGAACACCAGUGGCGAAGGCGACUACCUGGACUGAUACUGACACUGAGGUGCGAAAGCGUGGGGAGCAAACAGGAUUAGAUACCCGAGUAGUCC